UGCGCAGGUGGGCUUGUAAGUCAGUGGUGAAAGCCUACAGCUCAACUGUAGAGGUGCCAUUGAUACUGGUCGGCUUGAGUAUGGACGAGGUAGGCGGAAUUUGUGGUGUAGCGGUGAAAUGCAUAGAUACCACAAAGAACACCAAUAGCGAAGGCAGCUUACUGGACCAUAACUGACACUGAGGCACGAAAGCGUGGGGAGCGAACAGGAUUAGAUACCCUGGUAGUCC
Molecule: ribosomal RNA, 229 nt
Filed under: uncultured bacterium
Lineage: Bacteria
Description: partial 16S ribosomal RNA
Rfam family: Bacterial small subunit ribosomal RNA
Source: RNAcentral